Molecule: ribosomal RNA, 253 nt
Filed under: uncultured bacterium
Lineage: Bacteria
Description: partial 16S ribosomal RNA
Rfam family: Bacterial small subunit ribosomal RNA
Source: RNAcentral
UACGGGGGGGGCAAGCGUUGUUCGGAAUUACUGGGCGGAAAGGGCUCGUAGGCGGCCAACUAAGUCAUACGUGAAAUCCCUCGGCUUAACCGGGGAACUGCGUCUGAUACUGGAUGGCUUGAGUUCGGGAGAGGGAUGCGGAAUUCCAGGUGUAGCGGUGAAAUGCGUAGAUAUCUGGAGGAACACCGGUGGCGAAGGCGGCAUCCUGGACCGAUACUGACGCUGAGGAGCGAAAGCCAGGGGAGCAAACGGG